GCUGGGGGUGGGGAGGGUGGAGAAACACCUAGAUCUUUGAGUCGUUAAAGCAAGAUAACAAACGGCAAUCCUGAGUAGGACUGAAAGAAAGCAGGCCUGUGCACCGGCCAGCCUCAAGUCAGAUCACUGGGAGGUGUGCAUUUUCACCAAUUUUUCCUCGUUCCCGCUGGAACUUCAGAGUAAGAGGAAGAAAGAUCUUUAGCUUUCGUUUUCCAGAAAGGUUAAGGAGCCACCUAGGAUUCCAAGCAGCCAAAGGAAGAAGUUGAAUUACUUACUUUGCAGUUCCUAUCAUCUGGAGUUGUUUCAUCAAAUUCUUCUCCCAAGUGGAAGCUGAUUUCUGUGUUCUUGAAGCUUCAGACAACUGAGAAGAUCUGCCUGAUAUUCCUGGCCCUAUGGUUUAGAAAAUGCUCCUGCACUUCAGCUCCAGCUUCUUAUUUGAAGAAGAGGCGGGCAAAGAGCAAGGAUUAGAGCUGAAAUCCCCACCCCUCCUCUGUCCCUCUUUCUAGGAGCCUGGAGAUGGGGAGGGGGAAUGGAAUCGAGGAGCAAGGGGCCCAAUCCUCUUUGUGAUUGGCUCAGGCCACUGGGUCAGCAGAGUAGGGCAGGCACCACCCACCCUGCACACUGCAGCCCUUAUCCCUGAUGGGGCUAGGCAGGGGAGGACUUCUUAGGGCUGGGGGGAGGGGAAGGAAACAAAAAAUGAGAGGGGGUCUUUCAGGUUUAGCUUGAAAUUUUGGCAAUAGUAACACAAGGCUGUGAGAAGGCAAAAGAAAAACUCACAAUAGGAUAUUCAGAUCGAUUUCCGUUGAACAUGAAGAUGGUGACAAAUGAAAGCCCCAUGAAGAAAAUUACAGUAAUGCCAAGUUUUUUAAACCAAAGGAUGUUGAAGACUCUAUCUCUCUCUGUCUCUCUCUCUCUCAAUAUUGAAAAAAAAAGACCUUUAUCUACUCCUAGUUUAAUUUUGUUUUAUCUCAUAUUUGAGAGAGAGAGUCUCUCAAAUAUGAGAUAAAAUAAAGUUAAACCAGGAGGGAAUAAAGGGCCUUUUUUUCCCCUAUAUGAUGCAUGUUUCCCUGCCUGGAUAUCAAUGAGCUAAAGCUAUUCUGACAUGCUCCCAGCACAAAGCAAGCAGAUUUUAGAGCUCUCAUUGUCCUUAGCAAGAAUAACAGAGCUAGAUUGCAAUGAGAAAGCAGCCAAGAAAGGGUAAGAUGAGGAUUCAUUACCAGGAAAAAAAAGAAAUGAGAACUGUCUGGGUAGAGAAAAGUGGGCUACUUUUCCUUCUUUUCCCAGAUUAUAUAGUAGAAACUGUCUAGAAAUAGCUGGCCAGGAUAUCUGAAUGAUUAGCAUUUUUAAAGACUAAGCCCUCACAUGCCUGCACUAUAGGACCCUAUGGUUUCUCCAGAGCUACCAAUCUAAGCCAGCAUAGGGAGGAGAGCAGAAGUUAAAGAAACUAGCUAUUGAAGGGGUGUCUGCUUCCAAGUGUAGUCUUCUCCAUGCCCUUACUCAUGUAGAGAGUAGCUGAAAUGGAUGUCUGUUUAGAAGUCAUGCUGACUUAUGUUAAAGCAAAAUAUUUCUAAGACUAUUUUGAGAGUUUUGAGCAGCUAUUAGUAUUCUCUGGGAGGCCCCAAAAUCACCAUGAAUGAAUGGAAAAGUGUUUAUUAAGCUUUUAUUGUAUUUGAAGCAUUAUACUAAGACCUAGGGAUACAAAAAACAAACAAACAAACAAAAAAAAAAGACAGCCCCUAUUCUCAAGAAAUGUACUUUUUAAUAGGGGGAAGCAGCACACAUAGGAAAGUGAUGAAUGUCCAGAAAAGGUGAAGUCACAGGGAUAGUGAGUAGAACCCUAGAGCAACAAAAUGAUGCCUCCUUUUCAGAAGCAAUGAUAUUUAUUUGAUUUUUGCACUCUGAAGGAAAUAUGAGAGAUGGGGACAUGAGAGGCAGGAUGCCAUAAGUGGAAGAUUUUAUGUGACUUUCCUUCGGUGUCUAAGAUGUAUUAUCAAUCAGCAGGGACCAAGAAGGACCACAAUACAAAUGAGUCUCACAGAUCUUCAAGAUUGGUCCAGCCCAAGGGCACACUCUCUGAUUUGUCAAUAAACUAGAACAACUAACUUACAACAAAACCUGAAUGUAGGGUUCUUAACCUUUUGGGUGUCACAGACUCCUUUGGCAGGCUGGUGAAGUCUAUGAAGGCUUUCUCAGUAUUAUAUUUUUAGAUGCAUAAAAUAAAUAAAAUUAAAAGGAAACCAAUUAUAUAGAAAUAUUGUUACCAAAAUUUU
This is a long non-coding RNA of Vombatus ursinus (common wombat), 2270 nucleotides long. RefSeq lists it as uncharacterized. The transcript is spliced from 3 exons. The record is from RefSeq and is a predicted model, not a curated record. Lineage: Eukaryota; Metazoa; Chordata; Mammalia; Diprotodontia; Vombatidae.